AUGUAUGCUGAAUAUCCCCUCAGUGGACAAGAUUGGAUUUUAGUGUAUACAAGCCCUCCUCUCAGCUGCUCAGGCAUAAACACCUUACUGCAAAUGUUCUUCGUAUCUCGCCUCCUCGUCGUGAUGGGUGGCUCCUAUAGCUUCGCCAUGCCAACCAUCUCCACGAGAACAUGGCAGGUUGUUGUGCUUCUGGAUGAGAGGGAUAGCCAUGAGGCAAGGAGCAGCAAGGUCUCAUUUUCUUCCCCAGUUUUUACUCCUCGAUUUAUGGUUUUUCUAAACACAUGUGUGCAGAUAAUGUUCUUUAGUUUCUGGAUUUGGUGCAGGUAUGUUCCUCAUCCUCUCCCAGUCCUUGUUCCAAUCCUCGCCCUCAUGUAA
Molecule: ribosomal RNA, 375 nt
Filed under: Triticum aestivum (bread wheat)
Lineage: Eukaryota; Viridiplantae; Streptophyta; Magnoliopsida; Poales; Poaceae
Description: partial small subunit ribosomal RNA
Source: RNAcentral